UCCGUAGGCGGGCAAUUAAGUCAGAGGUGAAAUCCCACAGCUCAACUGUGGAACUGCCUUUGAUACUGGUUGUCUUGAGUUACAGUGAAGUAGAUAGAAUAUGUAGUGUAGCGGUGAAAUGCAUAGAUAUUACAUAGAAUACCGAUUGCGAAGGCAGUCUACUAACUGUAUACUGACGCUAAUGGACGAAAGCAUGGGGAGCGAACAGGAUUAGAUACCCUGGUAGUC
Molecule: ribosomal RNA, 228 nt
Filed under: uncultured bacterium
Lineage: Bacteria
Description: partial 16S ribosomal RNA
Rfam family: Bacterial small subunit ribosomal RNA
Source: RNAcentral